AGAAGAUGGAGCUGAAUCAAGGAUGGAGAAAGGUGAUUGUGUUCAGCUAAGAGCUGGCUUAGGGACUCUGGAGAAUUCCAAAGCUCAGCCUAGGAACUCAAGGAGAGUAGAUCCUUUAGGGCAGUGGACCCACCGGCAAUGGUAUUAUUAGAUGAGGGUCCGACACGGCGGGAUGGGACUGAGAGGUGGUACGGAAUAGCCCAUGGUCUGUGUAUUAAGGAGCCAUCUUGGCUUCCUUUUAAGGUCUUCCUCGCCAUUCGUUUUCAGCAGUAUCUUGCUCCAGUGACCCCUGUCAUGACCUUUUUCCUUUCUCUUCAUUUCCUGGUGCCCUGGCUCCUCUGAGUCCUGUCUGUCACCCCCUGUCACCACUGCCAUCUCUCACCAUGGCUCCACUUGGUCCAGGAGACAAAAGGUGGAACAUCAUGGUAACGGAAGUGAGUGGAAGAGGAGGCUGUUCACACCAUGGCAAACAGGAAGUAGAGUGGAGGAACUCACAGCAUGGUGGACAGGAAGCAGAGUGGAGCAGUCAAAUCACCGCAGACAGGAGACAGAAGGGAGCCGCUCACAAUAUGGUGACAGCCCAUCAUUAAGGGGAUCAAGGCAGGACCCCAAGCAGGAGCUUGAAACAGAAACCAUGGAGGAAUACUGCUUGUUCGCUCUCACCGGCUCACUGGCUCAUGAUUAACUAACUUUCUUGUACUGGGACAAAGACAUAAUUAAAGUAAAAUGAUUUGUCACCAUGA
Long non-coding RNA from Peromyscus eremicus (cactus mouse), 743 nucleotides. RefSeq lists it as uncharacterized. The transcript has 3 exons. The record is from RefSeq and is a predicted model, not a curated record. Lineage: Eukaryota; Metazoa; Chordata; Mammalia; Rodentia; Cricetidae.